Molecule: ribosomal RNA, 443 nt
Filed under: uncultured bacterium
Lineage: Bacteria
Description: partial 16S ribosomal RNA
Rfam family: Bacterial small subunit ribosomal RNA
Source: RNAcentral
CCUACGGUAGGCAGCAGUGGGGAAUAUUGGGCAAUGGGCGCAAGCCUGACCCAGCAACGCCGCGUGAAGGAAGAAGGCUUUCGGGUUGUAAACUUCUUUUAUCAGUGACGAAGCCAGUGACGGUACCUGAUGAAUAAGCCACGGCUAACUACGUGCCAGCAGCCGCGGUAAUACGUAGGUGGCAAGCGUUAUCCGGAUUUACUGGGUGUAAAGGGCGUGUAGGCGGGAGAGCAAGUCAGAUGUGAAAACCCUGGGCUCAACCUGUGGCCUGCAUUUGGUACUGUUUGUCUUGAGUACUGGAGAGGCGGACGGAAUUCCUGGUGUAGCGGUGGAAUGCGUAGAUAUUAGGAGGAACACCAGUGGCGAAGGCGGUCUGCUGGACAGCAACUGACGCUGAGGCGCGAAAGCGUGGGGAGCGAACAGGAUUAGAUACCCGGGUAGUC